Molecule: ribosomal RNA, 154 nt
Filed under: Gallowayella fulva
Lineage: Eukaryota; Fungi; Ascomycota; Lecanoromycetes; Teloschistales; Teloschistaceae
Description: Xanthomendoza fulva 5.8S ribosomal RNA
Rfam family: 5.8S ribosomal RNA
About the family: 5.8S ribosomal RNA (5.8S rRNA) is a component of the large subunit of the eukaryotic ribosome. It is transcribed by RNA polymerase I as part of the 45S precursor that also contains 18S and 28S rRNA. Functionally, it is thought that 5.8S rRNA may be involved in ribosome translocation.
Source: RNAcentral
CUUUCAACAACGGAUCUCUUGGUUCUGGCAUCGAUGAAGAACGCAGCGAAAUGCGAUAAGUAAUGUGAAUUGCAGAAUUCAGUGAAUCAUCGAAUCUUUGAACGCACAUUGCGCCCCUUGGUAUUCCGAGGGGCAUNCCUGUUCGAGCGUCAUU